AUUGAACGUUGGCGGCGUGGAUUAGGCAUGCAAGUCGUACGGGUCGGUGUAGCAAUACAACGGCAAGUGGCGAAAGGGAGAGUAACACGUAGAUACCUACCCUCUGGUCGGGGAUACCGCGGCAUAACCGCAAGUAAUACCCGAUAAAAUCUCCGGAUCAAAGGUGUGAUUCCGCCGGAGGAGGGGUCUGCGUUCUAUCAGCUUGUUGGUGAGGUAAUGGCUCACCAAGGCUAAGACGGAUACGGGGUGUGAGAGCAUGCCCCCGCUCACUGGGACCGAGACACUGCGCAGACACCUCCGGGUGGCUGCAGUCGAGAAUCUGCGGCAAUGGGCGCAAGCCUGACCGAGCGACGCCGCGUGCGGGAUGAAGGCCUUCGGGUUGUAAACCGCUGUCGAGGGGAAUGAAGUGUAGGUGGGUACUCCCAUCUAUUUGACAGAUCCCUGGAGGAAGCAUGGGCUAAGUUCGUGCCAGCAGCCGCCGUAA
Molecule: ribosomal RNA, 484 nt
Filed under: uncultured bacterium
Lineage: Bacteria
Description: partial 16S ribosomal RNA
Rfam family: Bacterial small subunit ribosomal RNA
Source: RNAcentral